AUGCCUCUUCUCACUUUGUCAAUUGCACUUAUGUCUUAAUUGGUCAUUCAAGUGGGGCAAAGGAAGUGCCCUUUUAAACUCAAGCAAACUGGGUGUUUAUCUUGUAUAAUGUCAGAGAAAACAACG
RNAcentral lists this small nucleolar RNA (126 nucleotides) under Sorex araneus (European shrew). RNAcentral describes it as "Small nucleolar RNA SNORA27 (ENSSARG00000014582.1)". It matches the Rfam family "Small nucleolar RNA SNORA27". Rfam says of the family: ACA27 is a member of the H/ACA class of snoRNA that guide the sites of modification of uridines to pseudouridines. The record is from RNAcentral. Lineage: Eukaryota; Metazoa; Chordata; Mammalia; Eulipotyphla; Soricidae.